UCUCUCUCUCACUUUUUUUUGCUGGCAUGUCUUACUCCUAUCCUCCUUCCUAAAACAAGGGAAUAUCUGAGGCUAUUUCUUUCAAUCUUAAACUAAACAUGAAGGAAAGAAAUGAGGGUUCUAUUAUUGUUAUUACUGCCACUGCUACUAUUUUUGGCAUGCUUGUCACCACUACUAUAAUCAUCAGAUCUACUAUCAUCAUCAUAUCCCCCAUCCUCACCACUACCAUCACCUAACCAUAUCAUUGUCAAUAUCAUAACCU
This 262-nucleotide long non-coding RNA is filed under the name Elaeis guineensis (African oil palm). Its description in RNAcentral is "long non-coding RNA (EGUI_LNC038407)". Lineage: Eukaryota; Viridiplantae; Streptophyta; Magnoliopsida; Arecales; Arecaceae. The record is from RNAcentral.